GAUGAACGCUAGCGGGAGGCUUAACACAUGCAAGUCGAGCGGGAUUAGCAGCAAUGCUAUGAGAGCGGCGGACGGGUGCGUAACGCGUAUGCAACCUGCCUUAUACAGGGGAAUAGCCCAUGGAAACGUGGAUUAAAGUCCCAUAGGAUCACGAGAUCGCAUGGUUUAGUGAUUAAAACUGAGGUGGUAUAAGAUGGGCAUGCGUCUGAUUAGGUAGUUGGUGAGGUAACGGCUCACCAAGCCGACGAUCAGUAGGGGUUCUGAGAGGAUUACCCCCCACACUGGUACUGAGACACGGACCAGACUCCUACGGGUGGCAG
Molecule: ribosomal RNA, 320 nt
Filed under: uncultured Bacteroidota bacterium
Lineage: Bacteria; Pseudomonadati; Bacteroidota
Description: bacterial SSU rRNA
Rfam family: Bacterial small subunit ribosomal RNA
Source: RNAcentral